RNAcentral lists this long non-coding RNA (922 nucleotides) under Gallus gallus (chicken). RNAcentral describes it as "long non-coding RNA NONGGAT008792". Lineage: Eukaryota; Metazoa; Chordata; Aves; Galliformes; Phasianidae. The record is from RNAcentral.
CGAAACUGAAGUAAAGUGUUUGCCUGCAGCGCUCCCCCCGGCCGCUCAGUGCUGUCAGCCGGCGCUUUGGGCUGGACUACUGGAACACCUGCAGUGAGGUCUCCAUCAGCCCCAAGGCUUGUCCUUGUGCCACAGGCUGGCACCAGCUCCUCCCUGGGAUUCCUCUCCCUGCCCUUGCCACAAGGAAAGGGUCCCCAUCCAGGCUCUCCACCUCUCUGAGGAUCAGGCAGGUUUCCUCUGCCCUUCUCUUAAAAACAGGUGAUAAAUGCAGAAUGCACAAAGCCAAACGUAGUAGGUGCCUUGGCAGCAGAUGCCUGCCUUCAGUCUCACCACUGGGCUGGAAAACGUGAAUUCAUCGUCACAGUAAUGCUGCUAAGUGUCCUGGUGGCAGAUAUGAGGGAAGAGUUUUGCAGGGCGUGCUGUUGUGUUUACUGGCUACCUGGGGAGAAGCCUGUUUGCCUGAAAGCUGGUCUGUCAACCCAAGAGAACCAACCCCACCAAGAACAAAUGUUCACUGCAGCUGUCUGUAAGGAAAGUUUCUCCUGCGGUGACCUCCUUGGAAAACAGCAUAGAGGAAAUGGAGUUCUGUUUUGCCUACACGAGGUGAGAUCUGGACGCUGCAGAGUGUGAGCACCACAAUGGCUGAAUUUGCAAGACCUGGUGAAAAAGUGGCUUAGGUGAGUAGGCUGGAGAUGUGUUUGGAGGACUGUGAUGCAUGGGGCUGUGGUAAGUGGGAAAUGCCAUGAACUCCUUGUCAGGAGGGUGAAGCUGCAGGAGGGGAAGGUGUGGGAGCUGACCACACAGCAGGGAGGAACAAUUGAGAAGUCCUUCAAGGUCAGUGUGAACAGUCAGAGAUCUCAAGGAUGUGCUGUAAUUCUUAUGUAAAUGCAGGUGUGGGGGAUGCACCAAAGGCUUCAGCCUG